AGUGAACGCUGGCGGCGUGCUUAAUACAUGCAAGUCGAACGAUGAAGUCCUAGCUUGCUAGGAUGGAUUAGUGGCGCACGGGUGAGUAAUAUAUAGUUAAUCUGCCUUGCACUGAGGAACAACAGUUGGAAACGAUUGCUAAUACCUCAUACUCCAACUUUACAUAAGUUAAGUUGGGAAAGUCUUUUCGGUGCAAGAUGAGACUAUAUCGUAUCAGCUAGUUGGUAAGGUAAUGGCUUACCAAGGCUAUGACGCGUAACUGGUCUGAGAGGAUGAUCAGUCACAUUGGAACGGAGACACGGUCCAAACUCCUACGGGAGGCAGCAGUAAGGAAUAUUGUGCAAUGGGGGAAACCCUGACGCAGCAACGCCGCGUGGAGGAUGACACUUUUCGGAGCGUAAACUCCUUUUGUUAGGGAAGAAUAAUGACGGUACCUAACGAAUAAGCACCGGCUAACUCCGUG
RNAcentral lists this ribosomal RNA (463 nucleotides) under uncultured bacterium. Its description in RNAcentral is "partial 16S ribosomal RNA". It matches the Rfam family "Bacterial small subunit ribosomal RNA", at positions 29 to 507 of the family's 1533-position model. The record is from RNAcentral.